RNAcentral lists this ribosomal RNA (372 nucleotides) under uncultured organism. Its description in RNAcentral is "bacterial SSU rRNA". It matches the Rfam family "Bacterial small subunit ribosomal RNA", at positions 526 to 896 of the family's 1533-position model. The record is from RNAcentral.
CGUAGGUGGCAAGCGUUGUCCGGAUUUAUUGGGCUUAAAGGGUGCGGUAGGCGGCCCUGUAAGUCAGUGGUGAAAUGCUCUAGCUUAACUAGAGACGGUGCCAAUGAUACUGCAGGGCUUGAGUACAGAUGAGGUAGGCGGAAUUGGACGGUGUAGCGGUGAAAUGCAUAGAUAUCGUCAAGAACACCUAUAGCGAAGGCAGCUUACUGGGCCUGUAACUGACGCUGAGGCACGAAAGUGUGGGGAUCAAACAGGAUUAGAUACCCUGGUAGUCCACACUGUAAACGUUGAUUACUCGCUGUUUGCGAUACACAGCAAGCGGCUUAGCGAAAGCGAUAAGUAAUCCACCUGGGGAGUACGCCGGCAACGGUG